Molecule: long non-coding RNA, 2498 nt
Organism: Oncorhynchus kisutch (coho salmon)
Lineage: Eukaryota; Metazoa; Chordata; Actinopteri; Salmoniformes; Salmonidae
Source: Ensembl
CCCCCCCUUCACAGAAAACAGGAAAACAUCUCACUGAAUCCAAACAUGAGUGUGUGCACUUUGGCUAGAUGUGAGGUCAGGGUUGUGUGUGUGUUUUUUUAAAGAGCUGCCAAACCAGGUGUGUAUGGUCUGCUAGAUGCCAGAGAGCCAAAGCUCAUUUCUGCCCCACUGCCCUGCUCACUCACUCGCUCUCACUCUCACACACACUCACACACACACACACACACACACACACACACACACACACACACACACACACACACACACACACACACACACACACACACACACACACACACACACACACACACACACACACACACACCCUCUGAGAUUUUACAACCAAAAUACUUAAGUGUUCCAGGAAUCUCUGCCAACCAAAACGUAAUCUCUCUCUUCUGCCGCCCAGUUUCUGUGUGUGUGUGUGUGUUUGUGUUUGCCAACAUGAUUCUAAUGGCUCCUAAACUGAGUUCUAACGGCUGAGUCUUCUCUCUCUCCUCAUCUAACACUUUUUCUAUCUCUCCAUCCCAUCUCUCUCUCUAUCUCCUUCUCGCUCUCCCUCCCUCCUACCUCCCCAUCUCUCUCUCUAUCUCCUUCUCGCUCUCCCUCCUACCUCCCCCUUCUCUCUCUCUAUCUCCUUCUUGCUCUCCCUCCUACCUCCCCAUCUCUCUCUCCGUCUCUCUCUCCCUCUUACCUCCCCCUUCUCUAUCUAUCUCCUUCUCUCUCUCCCUCUUACCUCCCCCCUCAGCUCUCUCUCCUUCUCUCUCUCCCUCUUACCUCCCCCCUCAUCUCUCUCUCCUUCUCUCUCUCCCUCCUACCUCCCCUUCUCUCUCUAUCUCCUUCUCUCUCUCCCUCUUACCUCCCCCUUCUCUCUUACCUCCCCUGCUCUCUCUCUCUCUCUCUCUCCUUCUCUCUCUCCCUCUUACCUCCCCUUCACUCUCUCUAUCUCCUCUCUCUCCCUCUUACCCCCCCUCAUCUCUCUCUCCUUCUCUCUCUCCCUCUUACCUUCCCCUUCUCUCUCUCUAUCUCCUUCUCUCUCUCCCUCUUACCUCCCCUUCACUCUCUCUAUCUCCUCUCUCUCCCUCUUACCCCUCCUCAUCUCUCUCUCCUUCUCUCUCUCCCUCUUACCUCCCCCUUCUCUCUCUCCAUCCCAUCUCUCUCUCUAUCUCCUUCUCGCUCUCCCUCCCUCCUACCUCCCCAUCUCUCUCUCUAUCUCCUUCUCGCUCUCCCUCCUACCUCCCCCUUCUCUCUCUCUAUCUCCUUCUUGCUCUCCCUCCUACCUCCCCAUCUCUCUCUCCGUCUCUCUCUCCCUCUUACCUCCCCCUUCUCUAUCUAUCUCCUUCUCUCUCUCCCUCUUACCUCCCCCCUCAUCUCUCUCUCCUUCUCUCUCUCCUUCUUACCUCCCCCUUCUCUCUCUCCGUCUCUCUCUCCCUCUUACCUCCCCAUCUCUCUCUCAAUCUCCUUCUCGCUCUCCCUCCUACCUCCCCCUUCUCUCUCUCUAUCUCCUUCUUGCUCUCCCUCCUACCUCCCCAUCUCUCUCUCCGUCUCUCUCUCCCUCUUACCUCCCCCUUCUCUAUCUAUCUCCUUCUCUCUCUCCCUCUUACCUCCCCCCUCAUCUCUCUCUCCUUCUCUCUCUCCCUCUUACCUCCCCCCUCAUCUCUCUCUCCUUCUCUCUCUCCCUCCUACCUCCCCCUUCUCUCUCUAUCUCCUUCUCUCUCUCCCUCUUACCUCCCCCUUCUCUCUCUCCGUCUCUCUCUCCCUCUUACCUCCCCCUUCUCUCUCUCUCUCUCUCUCUCCUUCUCUCUCUCCCUCUUACCUCCCCUUCACUCUCUCUAUCUCCUCUCUCUCCCUCUUACCCCCCCUCAUCUCUCUCUCCUUCUCUCUCUCCCUCUUACCUCCCCCUUCUCUCUCUCUAUCUCCUUCUCUCUCUCCCUCUUACCUCCCCUUCACUCUCUCUAUCUCCUCUCUCUCCCUCUUACCUCCCCCUUCUCUCUCUCUAUCUCCUUCUCUCUCUCCCUCUUACCUCCCCCUUCUCUCUCUCCGUCUCUCUCUCCCUCUUACCUCCCCCUUCUCUCUCUCUCGCUCUCUCUCUCCUUCUCUCUCUCCCUCUUACCUCCCCUUCACUCUCUCUAUCUCCUCUCUCUCCCUCUUACCCCCCCUCAUCUCUCUCUCCUUCUCUCUCUCCCUCUUACCUACCCAUCUCUCUCUCUCAGUCUCUCUCUCUUUCGCUCUACUUCUUAACCAAUUCAAUGCCAAAGCACAUAGAAACACAUUAAAUCCCUGAAAUAAAUCAUACAAAAAAUUAUAAUAAAACAAGAUAUCACAGUAUGACUUCAUGUUCCGACAUCCUUGGACAAACAUAGAUUUUUCCUAGUAAACUGACUUCAUCCCCCGAUGUCCUGUGACAAAAAGUGCUAAAUUUAGGCAACACAACUCUUACAGUCAAAUCUAGGCAUUCAUUAUGACUGGGUUAAAGGGCAACCCCGGCACUUUCCAAC